RNAcentral lists this ribosomal RNA (483 nucleotides) under Chaetoceros curvisetus. RNAcentral's name for it is "partial Bacterial small subunit ribosomal RNA". It matches the Rfam family "Bacterial small subunit ribosomal RNA", at positions 325 to 800 of the family's 1533-position model. Lineage: Eukaryota; Bacillariophyta; Thalassiosirophyceae; Chaetocerotales; Chaetocerotaceae. The record is from RNAcentral.
CACGGCCCAGACUCCUACGGGAGGCAGCAGUGGGGAAUAUUGGACAAUGGGGGCAACCCUGAUCCAGCCAUGCCGCGUGUGUGAAGAAGGCCUUUUGGUUGUAAAGCACUUUAAGCAGGGAGGAGAGGCUAAUGGUUAAUACCCAUUAGAUUAGACGUUACCUGCAGAAUAAGCACCGGCUAACUCUGUGCCAGCAGCCGCGGUAAUACGGAGGGUGCGAGCGUUAAUCGGAAUUACUGGGCGUAAAGCGUGCGCAGGCGGCUUUGCAAGACAGAGGUGAAAUCCCCGGGCUCAACCUGGGAACUGCCUUUGUGACUGCAAGGCUAGAGUACGGCAGAGGGGGAUGGAAUUCCGCGUGUAGCAGUGAAAUGCGUAGAUAUGCGGAGGAACACCGAUGGCGAAGGCAGGUCUCUGGGCAGUAACUGACGCUGAGGAGCGAAAGCAUGGGGAGCGAACAGGAUUAGAUACCCUGGUAGUCCAUGC